RNAcentral lists this ribosomal RNA (388 nucleotides) under uncultured bacterium. Its description in RNAcentral is "bacterial SSU rRNA". It matches the Rfam family "Bacterial small subunit ribosomal RNA", at positions 975 to 1375 of the family's 1533-position model. The record is from RNAcentral.
CAGGGCUUGACAUGCAGUCGCACCACCCGUUAUGGGGUGUGCCCGCAAGGGACGGCUGCACAGGUGCUGCAUGGCUGUCGUCAGCUCGUGUCGUGAGAUGUUGGGUUAAGUCCCGCAACGAGCGCAACCCCCAUCGUCGGUUACAAGUGUCCGGCGAGACUGCCUCGAUCAACGGGGAGGAAGGUGGGGAUGACGUCAAGUCAGCACGGCCCUUACGUCCUGGGCGACACACACGCUACAAUGGCCGGAAACAACGAGUUGCCAACCCGCGAGGGGGAGCCAAUCUCAGCAAAACCGGUCUCAGUUCAGAUUGUAGGCUGCAACCCGCCUGCAUGAAGUGGGAGUUGCUAGUGACCGUGGGUCAGCACACCACGGUGAAUACGUUCCC